GAUCCAGAACUAGCUGCUGGGAGACC
RNAcentral lists this non-coding RNA (26 nucleotides) under Cricetulus griseus (Chinese hamster). Lineage: Eukaryota; Metazoa; Chordata; Mammalia; Rodentia; Cricetidae. The record is from RNAcentral.